This 490-nucleotide ribosomal RNA is filed under the name uncultured bacterium. Its description in RNAcentral is "partial 16S ribosomal RNA". It matches the Rfam family "Bacterial small subunit ribosomal RNA", at positions 30 to 507 of the family's 1533-position model. The record is from RNAcentral.
AUUGAACGCUGGCGGCAGGCCUAACACAUGCAAGUCGAACGGUAACAGGAAGAAGCUUGCUUCUUUGCUGACGAGUGGCGGACGGGUGAGUAAUGUCUGGGAAACUGCCUGAUGGAGGGGGAUAACUACUGGAAACGGUAGCUAAUACCGCAUAACGUCGCAAGACCAAAGAGGGGGACCUUCGGGCCUCUUGCCAUCGGAUGUGCCCAGAUGGGAUUAGCUAGUAGGUGGGGUAACGGCUCACCUAGGCGACGAUCCCUAGCUGGUCUGAGAGGAUGACCAGGCAAACUGGAACCUGGGACAGGUCCAGAAUUCCAAGGGAGGCCGGCGUGGGGAAUAUUGCACAAUGGGCGCAAGCCUGAUGCAGCCAUGCCGCGUGUAUGAAGAAGGCCUUCGGGUUGUAAAGUACUUUCAGCGGGGAGGAAGGGAGUAAAGUUAAUACCUUUGCUCAUUGACGUUACCCGCAGAAGAAGCACCGGCUAACUCCGUG